UCCCUACGGGGGGCAGCAGUGGGGAAUAUUGCACAAUGGGCGAAAGCCUGAUGCAGCAACGCCGCGUGAGGGACGACGGCCUUCGGGUUGUAAACCUCUUUUAGUAGGGAAGAAGCGAAAGUGACGGUACCUGCAGAAAAAGCACCGGCUAACUACGUGCCAGCAGCCGCGGUAAUACGUAGGGUGCAAGCGUUAUCCGGAAUUAUUGGGCGUAAAGAGCUCGUAGGCGGUCUGUCGCGUCUGCUGUGAAAACUGGAGGCUCAACCUCCAGCCUGCAGUGGGUACGGGCAGACUAGAGUGCGGUAGGGGAGAUUGGAAUUCCUGGUGUAGCGGUGGAAUGCGCAGAUAUCAGGAGGAACACCGAUGGCGAAGGCAGAUCUCUGGGCCGUAACUGACGCUGAGGAGCGAAAGCGUGGGGAGCGAACAGGAUUAGAUACCCUAGUAGUC
Molecule: ribosomal RNA, 447 nt
Filed under: uncultured Microbacterium sp.
Lineage: Bacteria; Bacillati; Actinomycetota; Actinomycetes; Micrococcales; Microbacteriaceae
Description: bacterial SSU rRNA
Rfam family: Bacterial small subunit ribosomal RNA
Source: RNAcentral